Molecule: ribosomal RNA, 189 nt
Filed under: uncultured bacterium
Lineage: Bacteria
Description: partial 16S ribosomal RNA
Rfam family: Bacterial small subunit ribosomal RNA
Source: RNAcentral
CCUACGGGAGGCAGCAGUGAGGGAUAUUGGACAAUGGGCGCAAGCCUGAUCCAGCCAUGCCGCGUGCAGGAUGACGGUCCUAUGGAUUGUAAACUGCUUUUAUACGAGAAGAAACACUCCGACGUGUCGGAGCUUGACGGUAUCGUAAGAAUAAGGAUCGGCUAACUCCGUGCCAGCAGCCGCGGUAAU